Molecule: long non-coding RNA, 367 nt
Filed under: Ananas comosus (pineapple)
Lineage: Eukaryota; Viridiplantae; Streptophyta; Magnoliopsida; Poales; Bromeliaceae
Description: long non-coding RNA (ACOM_LNC026134)
Source: RNAcentral
GAGAGCAAGUCCAACCUGCACGCACGACACCAACGCAAAAGCACAGCGCCCGCCUCCGGAGUGGCACUCGUGGGAGCUACCCAACCGAGUAUGCAGCGUAUCUCUGUCGAGCUCAAUCAGGCUCUAACAAGCCGAAGUCAAGUAGCUAGGGUCAAAACAGGUCUAGAAACUAAAUCCACGUGCCCUUGGCACAAUCUUAGACCAAAAACAGGAAUCUAGGUCCACCGUCCACCCCGACGGCACUCAACAACCCGAAACAGCCUAGACUCUACUAAAAAAAUAAGCUCGGCGUCCCAGCACGAGCGUAAAUGCAUUCUAAACUACCCCGGGUAUCCACGGCGCUGAAACAGCGGUGAUACAAUCAAAC